AUGAACGCUGGCGGCGUGCCUAAUACAUGCAAGUCGAGCGCACAGACGAGGAGCUUGCUCCCCUGACGUUAGCGGCGGACGGGUGAGUAACACGUGGAUAACCUACCUAUAAGACUGGGAUAACUUCGGGAAACCGGAGCUAAUACCGGAUAAUAUAUUGAACCGCAUGGUUCAAUAGUGAAAGACGGUUUUGCUGUCACUUAUAGAUGGAUCCGCGCCGCAUUAGCUAGUUGGUAAGGUAACGGCUUACCAAGGCAACGAUGCGUAGCCGACCUGAGAGGGUGAUCGGCCACACUGGAACUGAGACACGGUCCAGACUCCUACGGGAGGCAGCAGUAGGGAAUCUUCCGCAAUGGGCGAAAGCCUGACGGAGCAACGCCGCGUGAGUGAUGAAGGUCUUCGGAUCGUAAAACUCUGUUAUUAGGGAAGAACAAAUGUGUAAGUAACUAUGCACGUCUUGACGGUACCUAAUCAGAAAGCCACGGCUAACUACGUG
RNAcentral lists this ribosomal RNA (496 nucleotides) under uncultured bacterium. RNAcentral describes it as "partial 16S ribosomal RNA". It matches the Rfam family "Bacterial small subunit ribosomal RNA", at positions 29 to 507 of the family's 1533-position model. The record is from RNAcentral.